Non-coding RNA from Salvelinus sp. IW2-2015, 1863 nucleotides. Lineage: Eukaryota; Metazoa; Chordata; Actinopteri; Salmoniformes; Salmonidae. The record is from RefSeq and is a predicted model, not a curated record.
CACUACAAUUGGGAGUGGCUAUGGAUCCCUCUUAAAUCAGAUGAAAACACACGUUGAGCAUAAGAAUCGUGAUAAUCCUCUGGUACGGCUAAGAAUGAGAAAAACACUCUCAGGCUCAUCGACGUUAGUCAGUGCAAGAGGGUCAACUGACAAAUAUGGGUAUGUAAGAUGGCAGCCUGACUUUCCCACAGAAGAAACGGAAGAAACUUUGGAGGCAAAGCGUGAGGAAAUGGAGCAGCUUUAUUCCAGAGAAGGGCCGGCAGGAGGUGACAGAGUACAACUCUCGCAGCUCAUGCAAGCAACAUUUUACUUACAGCGCUGUGCCAUCAACACUAGCCCAGCAUCUAAACUAGCCGAGCUGAGGAGUAAGUGGCCAUACCUUUUCACACAGAAGGAACUCUACAACCACUUCAAGUUACUGACAGAUGUCUCAAUCCUGGAAAGAAUGUAUGCAACGAUGGCAGAAAAAGGAAAGAUUAUAAUAGAAUAACCAACAAAUGAAGAGGUUCGGUACAUCCUGUCAAGGUUUGAAAAGGGUGGAGCGACUGCAGUUGGCCCUUGUGUUGUCCUUCUGCUGAUGGCCCAUUUCAAAGAAAGGGCGGAUGCAUUCCUUCUACAGGCCGAUGUGUGAUCAAUUCCCCUGCUGGACUCACCAAGACUGAUUGUUGAAGGUGACACAAUGACUGCUGCCCAAUGGAUGAUAAGCAUGGAGAAGGUGGUCAUGAUGUCGGUCCACUCCAACUUUGUGGCAGUGCUAGCAGCUUUUCUUGCCUCAUUCUACAUCUUCAAUCUGCAGUACCAAGAGGAGGCUUCACUCACCCUGGAGUUCAUCCAAAGAUGUUUUGCUGGAAUCAAUCCAUCCACUGGCUCAAAGACCGCCACAGCAGAGGUUGUCAGCAAGAAAAGCGGGAAGGUAGUGGAGAAGAAGUGACACACAAUUAAUGUACAUCUCCGUACUCUGCUCAGGAAGAUAAUGGACUUUGAACAGCUACAGGCUAGUUCCUCUUGGGCAUACAUUUAAUGUAUUUUAGUAAAUUGUGACCUGCGCAAGUAAGUUUGGUUUGUAACUAGGGUUGACUUUUUUUGUGUGUUUUUACACCUUAAGUGUUUGAAAAUUAUCAAGUAUGCCCUGAAAUUGACACAUUGUUGAGGAAGUAAUGCUACUCUGUGUUUAACCUGGGAGUGAAGGUAAUGACAAACCUCCUAAGAAUAGGCCAGGCAGACAUGUUGCACAAAACUCUGUUGAAAGUAGGCCUUAGUACAAAACAAGAUACAUUUUUUUCUUUUUUUGAGCGUAAAGCGAGGUAAUGCGACUUUUGAGUUACCUGUGUCUGAAAGGUUAUUUUUAUUUCAAAAGCUAAGAUACAUACACUAUACCAGUGCCUUUCUUAUCUGUAAUUCUGUCACUUUCUAUGCUGGAACAGUUAUACACAUGCACCUUAUUCAGGACCUUGAUCUAUUUUGAAGAUUGAUACAUUUGAAACCUUUGACACAUUUUACACCUUUUUGUUGAAAGAAUUGGCUUUGCAUCUGAUUGCUGAAUAGCCUUCUGACCAACUAUCAUUAUUUUAUGUUGCAUAGAAGCUAGAAUAUCAUUACACAUUACACACAUUUUUCAAUUUGUAAAGGAAGAUGUUUCUCAGUUUUGUAGAUGGGGUGGUUGCAUCCAUCCUAACUAAUGCUUGAUUUUGUGAAGUUAUGUCAUACCAAUACUGUUAAGAUUAACAAUUUUAUUCUGUCCUGAUUAAUCAUUUUCAGAUGUACACUUUUUGCUAGGUGCUAGGGGAAAGGUAUAGGUUUGUAAGUGAGGCGUUUGUGAUGCGGCCGAUUUGGCUACAGUUUAUUGGUAUUUCCCACCGAGCA